RNAcentral lists this long non-coding RNA (6213 nucleotides) under Triticum aestivum (bread wheat). RNAcentral's name for it is "long non-coding RNA (TAES_LNC024202)". Lineage: Eukaryota; Viridiplantae; Streptophyta; Magnoliopsida; Poales; Poaceae. The record is from RNAcentral.
UUUUCUUCUUUUUCUUUUAUCCUGCUUUUAUCUUUUCUGUUUUAUUUAUAUUAUUUUAAUUUUCACAUUAUCUUAGUUUAAAAAUGUAGGAGGACAACACCUAAAUUAAUGUUUUAGUUUAACCCUCUGCCACGAAAGGUUCUACUCCCAAAUAAAAUAGUUUGCUAUUUUAUAAUUUAGAAAAGGCAUUUUAUUUAUUGUUAAAGCCACUAUUUAAUUAAACUAAUGCAGUAAACCACUUUAUAAAAAUGUUGGUUCACCACCAUAAUUAGUUAUGGAAUAUUUCCCACACUUUGAACAUUUUAUUUUGCAUGUUUGACAAAUUUGAGGUUUAGACUUUAAUUUGAAUUUGAGUUUGAUCUAAGACUUGGAUCAAGCGAGGAUUACCAACAGUAAUAUGAUGACAUGGCACCAUUAACGGGGAUUACUGUAGCUUAAUUAUCGGGGCGUCACAAUUCUCCUCCACUACAAGAAAUCUCGUCCCAAGAUUUUAGGAGGUAGAAGGAAACAAAGCGGGGUAUUCAUCUCGAAGACGAUCCUCGCGAUCCCAAGUGGCUUCAUCUUUAGAAUGAUUUGACCAAUGAACUUUAAGAAAUUUGGUAGCCCUCAGACGGGCACGAUGUUCAGCUGGAGCGAGAACGCGGAUCGGAUGCUCCGAGUAGGUGAGAUCAUCUUGGAAGGGUUGAGCUUUAUAAGCCAUGUGGUUGUUGCAAAAGGACUUGCGACACAGGGCAUCGGCCAUGAUAAUAGCCUUGCCAUGGGUAUAAUAAAUACCAUAGUCAUAGUCUGAAAUUGUGUUCAUACAUCACUGCUGACAGAGGUCCAGAUCUAGCUGAGUAACAGAUACAUCGGACUUUGAUGAUCAGUGAAGAUCUUGCAACGAUUACCAAGAAGGAAAUGCCGCCACAACUUUAGUGCAAAUUUAACUACAACAAGUUCAAGGUCAUGGACUGGGUAGUUCUUUUUGAAAGACAUCCUGGAAUUCAGAAACAACUAGAGCGUUUUCAAUUCUCAUAAGAGGAGAAUCGUUUAACGCAUGCAAGGAAUAAAUCCGAGCUUCGGCAUUUCAAACAGGAUGAGCAUGGUAGCUCACUAUCUCAUUUGAUGGAUGUAGUAGAUGGACGGUUUUAGUGGCGCAAAUGAUAGAAGUGGUAUUUGUUUUCAACCAUUCCAUUUCCGGAAUGAGGAUGAUAUCUGGAAGACUUCAAAACAACGGGGGAAACAUGGAAUUCCAAUCCUUCAAUUUCAACGGGGACGUUGUGACUAACCAAGGUGGUUCGACAUUGGCCCGCGGAAUGCAGCUUGAAAUUCAUGCCAAGCGAUGGUGGUUCCAACAAGUAAGAAAGCAUGUGGUUGUCCCACCAUUGAGCAGCGGGACCUUUCAGGUAGUAAGCCGCGAAGGUGACAUAGUUGACAAGGGCUACAUCUGCAGACUCCAACUCGAAAGUGAUGUCACGGAGCCAAUCAUCAGCAUCAAGGGGCUGAGUUGAGCUGUGGUAGAUGACAGGGUUGAGACGCGCAAAGUUUUGCAAGAGUCACUAGGGUUGGUUGCCGAUUCAUAUUGGGGCGUGGGAACUGAGCCAUGACUCGUACCAUGAACUGGCGAUUCAACAUCAAACUGUUGUAUCAUUCCGGCCAUGUAUUCGGGCGGCCAUGAUCAGCGGGUCUAACCAUCCUGCUUAAAUGCAACAGGGGGCAGUUUAGCAUGGGGUGGAGCAAGUGUAUGGAGUCAUUCAUGAUGUAACUUGAACAAUGAGUAAAGGCGCAGUAUCCAUAAAGUAGUAGUCAUCAAAGACAUACCACUACAUAUUCGGAGCCAAUUACACGCUGUUCGUAUGAGUUCGGAUAAGAGAAUCAUCCUAGACAUACUAGGCGGCAAGCAUGCACGCGAUGGAGGAAUGCAAUAACGGUACAUAGCACAGGCUACAUCAAUGUCAGGGAAACGUCUGGAACGAGGGAUUUGAAAGUGACGAUGCAGGGUGCCCUCGAUAAGAGGAUCCCGCGGUCAAUGAACAUUGUGAAGCAAAUCUUGGCCCUCAAUUCGAGAAAGGGGUAACACAAACCUCCGGGUGGAUGUGAUCAUGAGAUCCUAAUGUUAGAGUUAUCAAAAUCAUUUAACCCGAGUAGAAGAGAGAUCAGAAUCCCAGAGUAAAGGUCGAGGAGUAAAAGAUCCUAAUACCACCCAAUGGCGACGUGGGCCCGUAAGCCACACAGCCAUGUUAGUAAAUCAGUUUUUUUAAAGACUAGACUCAACUUCGGCCAAGGAGUUGGAAAGGGGGAUCCUACAGGCAGUCGGCUCUGAUACCAACUUAUGACGCCCCCAACUCGACCGUACACUAAUCAUACACGCAAAUGUGUACGAUCAAGAUCAGGGACUCACGGGAAGAUAUCACAACACAACUCUAGACACAAAUUCAAAUAAUACAAGCUUCAUAUUACAAGCCAGGGGCCUCGAGGGCUCGAAUACAAGCUCGAUACACAAGCGUCAGCGGAAGCAACAAUAUCUGAGUACAGCCAUAAGUUAGACAAGGAUGCCUUAAGAAGGCUAGCACAAAAGCAACACGAUCGAAGAGGCAAGGCCUCCUGCCUGGGACCUCCUAACUACUCCUGGUCGUCGGUGGUCUCCAUGUAGCAGAAUCCGUUGGCGGUGGCAUCUGGCUCCAGGGAUCCACCAUCUGGUUGCAUCAACCGGAAAGAAGAAGGAAGGGGGGAAAGGGGUAGCAAAGCAACCGUGAGUACUCAUCCAAAGUACUCGCAAGCAUCAGAUCUAUACUAAGUAUGCAUUGGUAUCAAAUGGAAGGGUUGUAUCUGUGGACUGAACUGCAGAAUGCCAGAAUAGAGGAGAAGGCCUAGCCUAUCGAAGACUAGCAUCUUCAAGCAGCUCCAAGCAUCUUGCAGCAUGUAGAAGAGUAAAGAAUAGCAGUUUAUAAUUAUCAAACAUGUUGUAACAUUAAUGCCCAAAGAUCCCUCCUCGACUCCCUGUGAGAAAGCAAUCUCGGAGCCACAUAUCCAUCACAUAUCAAGUAUCCAUUUCUAGUUGUAUAAGAUCAGUAUACAAGUCUGAACGUCCAUUACCGUGGACACAGUAUUCGAAUACAUAUCUUCCCUGCAGGGGUGCACCACGUUACCCAACACGCUCGAUCACUCUGGCCGGACACACCUUUCUGGGGUCAAUGCCCGGCCUCGGAAGAUCAACACGUCGCAGCCCUACCUAGGCUCAGCAGAGAGGUCCCCGCCGGUCUACAUCCUAAGCACUCCGGGGUCUUGGGCCCAUCGCCCGGUGCACUCCGGGUCGUUGUGUGCAGGGUGGAUACCAGCACCGCCUCGGAUUGCCAGCAUGAUCCGACCGUGCCACAAUGCUGAACUGGAUGUCUGACAAAGCUUCGGCUGAUACCACGACGUCGAGGCCCAUAACUAUUCUCACGUGGUGGUUAGUGCGUAAAGGCCAAAGGCCAAUUCAGAACAAAUACCCAAACCUGUUAGUGCAUUAUUAAAAGAAGUGACGGCUGUCGGGACAAGUCCGGAGCUAUCACCCCCUCCCGGGUGAUACCGCUAAACAGCCAGCUGCCACCGUAACAACUCCUCGGGUGCUCUUCGGGCCCGCCCGACUUUCACCAAUGUCUCAAGUAAAGUCAAGGUAACCGUGUGUCCAGACAUCAAGGGGAAAACCCGAGGAAUCACGCCCGGUGGAUUCCACUCAAUGUAAUCAUCAAGGUGAACGUAAGAGGGACCACCCUCGAGGUUCACACUUGAGGUGUUGAACGACAGAGCCGUAUCGGGAAUGGUGAAAGAGGAAAUCACCCUCGAUGACCACGAAUGAAUAGCUACACUACAGAAUUAUCAUCAGGAGCGCGUUAUGAGGGAUCACCCUCGGCACUCGAUAGUAGCUCUGUAGAGUCGAGCAACAAAAGGGUCGUGAUGUGAUGUGAGGUGUCGGGCUCUGGUUGUCGAUCACGUUGCUGAGUCGUCGAUGAUGAAGCGGGGGCAACCAGGAUACGGUGGUGGUCACUGAUGGAUCUCUAACCAACCUAUACUAAGCAGUUUAGGAUAAGCGGGUAGGUAACAAUAGCAAGUACAAAAGCAGGCUAUGCAUCAGAAUAGGAUCAAUCAAUUACAGUAGCAAAAUCUAAUGCAAGCAUGAGAGAAUGGAAUGAGCGAUAUCGGGAUGAUCAAAGGGGGGCUUGCCUGGAAGCUCCGCUGAAAGGGAAGAAGGGGUCGUCGUCGACGCAGUCGAUCAUAGGGGCAUCAGCAGCGGUCUCGGGGUCUACCGGAGAGAAGAGGGGGGAGAAACAGUAAAUACAAGCAAACAGAUACAAGACAAGCAAUAAGCAGCGCUAGAGGCGUUCUAACGCGACACUACACGAUACCGGCGAAGGGGAAUAACAUCCGAAAAGUUUUCCCGGAGUUAGGCAUUUUCGGACAGACGAACCGGAGGGGAAAAGUUCGAUGUUCGCUACGCUAGGGGCAUGUGACAGAUGAACGGAGAGCGUGUUCCGAUUCGUCUCGUCGUUCUGAGCAACUUUCAUGUAUAAAACUUUUUCAUCCGAGUUACAAAUUAAUUUAUAUGGUUUUUCAAAGUUUUAAUACUAUUCUGAAAUUAAUUUUAAUUCGAGAAUAAAGAUUAAAAUGCUAUGGGUACCCAGCUCUGCGUACACAGGAGUGUACCAGAGGCUGACGGGUGGGCCAGGGGUUCCCAGUUGACCAGGCAAUGUUUGACUGGUCAACAGGGGGUGGGGUCCCCCUGUCAUACACACAUUUAUCUAACUACCAUUUUAACCUAGUUUAAUUAGCAUGUUAAUUAAACUUAAUUAGCUAACUAAGCAGGAUUAAUUAAGUUAAUUAAUUAAUUAACUAUUUUCUAUUAUUAUUAUUUUUUAAAUCUUUUUUUGUUUUUCUUUUCCAGGGCGUGGGGGCCGGCUGUCAUUGGCCCAAGGAGCAAACCGGGCGGGGGUUGCUAGCGGGCGCGGGCGCCGGGCACAGCAUCGCAGCUGCAGCGCCGGCGAGGCGGCGCGCGAGGGGGGCGGCCAGGGCGGUCUCGGCGCAGUGAGCGGCGGCGCGGCACUGGCGACUGAGGGUGUGGCCGCGGUGGGCUGCGGCAGGCGGAGUGCGGCAAGGCCGCGUGAGGGGCCAGGAGGGCGCGGCCGGUCGUGGCGGUCGGCGUGGCCAGGGACGCGCAGUCCGGCGGCCACGCGCGACGCGGGCGGCGAGCAAGGGCGGGGCGGCGCGGCCACGGCGGACCAGGGCGCGGCAACCGCGGGACAGCGCGGGGAUGCACGGGAGCACGGGCCGGGCAGCAUCCGCAAUGGGGAGCGGUGGCCACGUUCGACGCCGGGACGGGGGGGGAAUCAGCGACAGGCUCAGAGCGGAGCUGUAGGGGGGUGGCAGCGGGCUCGUUGGAGCCGUUGGGGAGGACGACAGGGACGGGGUCCGGCGAAAUCCAGCGACGGCACGAGGUUGCGGCGACGUCCACGGCAUCAAGCAGGCGUCGGGCCACGAGGGAGAGGGGAUGGAGCCGCGAGGAGGACCGCGGCGGUCCAGCGAGGGGGGCUCGGAGCGACGGCAGGGUCGAGCGGUGACAAUGGGGUCCGGCCAGUCCGCCCGAUCCCGAUCUGGUUUAGGAGGGGAACGAGAGGAAGGAGGGGAUCGUGGGGAGUGGGGGUAGUGGAGAUGGGGAUUUAGGGUUUCGGGGGUUAGUGGGGUUAUAGGCCUGGGGUUGGGCUGGCUAGCGGUCCAGCUAGGCCGAGGCCCAGUGAGGGAAGGGAGUCGUGUUGUUUUCUUCUUUUUCUUUUAUCCUGCUUUUAUCUUUUCUAUUUUAUUUAUAUUAUAUUAAUUUUCACAUUAUCUUAGUUUAAAAAUCUAGGAGGCCAACACCUAAAUUAAUGUUUUAGUUUAACCCUCUGCCACGAAAGGUUCUACUCCCAAGUAAAAUAGUUUGCUAUUUUAUAAUUUAGAAAAGGCAUUUUAUUUAUUGUUAAAGCCACUGUUUAAUUAAACUUGUGCAGUAAACCACUUUAUAAAAAUGUUGGUUCACCACCAUAAUUAGUUAUGGAAUAUUUCCCACACUUUGAACAUUUUAUUUUGCAUUUGACAAAUUUGAGGUUUAGACUUUAAUUUGAAUUUGAGUUUGAUCUAAGACUUGGAUCAAGCGAGGAUUACCAACAGUAAUAUGAUGACAUGGCACCAUUAACGGGGAUUACUGUAGCUUAAUUAUCG